GUUUCCGGAUGAUAACUCAAGAACGCUUAGGCCUAGGAUCAUGAACCUUCAUAGGUACAUUGAUCAUGACUGGCAUAUGACCCCUAUUGAUUUUCAGGUCACUAGGUCAAAGGUCAAGGUCACAGUGACUCGAAACAGUAAAAUGGUUUCCGGAUGAUAACUCAAGAAUGCUUACGCCUAGGAUCAUGAAACUUCAUAGGUACAUUGAUCAUGACUGGCAGAUGACCCCAAUUGAUUUUCAGGUCACUAGGUCAAAGGUCAAGGUCACAGAGACUGGUAAUAGUAAAAUGGAUUCCGGAUGAUAACUCAAGAAUGCUUACGCCUAGAAUCAUGAAACUUCAUAGGAACAUUGAUAAUGACUGGCAGAUGACCCCUAUUAAUUUUCAGGUCACUAGGUCAAAGGUCAAGGUCACAGUGACUCGAAGUAGUAAAAUGGUUUCCGGAUGAUAACUCAAGAAUGCUUACGCCUAGGAUCAUGAAACUUCAUAGGUACAUUGAUCAUGACUGGCAGAUGACCCUUAUUGAUUUUCAGGUCACUAGGUCAAAGGUCAAGGUCA
Long non-coding RNA from Dreissena polymorpha, 557 nucleotides. RefSeq lists it as uncharacterized. NCBI's taxonomy places the organism in Eukaryota, Metazoa, Mollusca, Bivalvia, Myida, Dreissenidae. The transcript has 2 exons. The record is from RefSeq and is a predicted model, not a curated record.